ACCAAUUCUGAAAGAUCAAUUGUUCCUUUUAUUGUAAUGGCUUGGACGCGCUAAAUCAUUUAUGUGGUGAUCCAGAUUUAAGGGUUUUCUUCAAUACCAUUUGGUCUUGGAAACGUCUCUUAUAUUA
This is a small nucleolar RNA of Cicer arietinum (chickpea), 127 nucleotides long. Lineage: Eukaryota; Viridiplantae; Streptophyta; Magnoliopsida; Fabales; Fabaceae. The record is from RefSeq and is a predicted model, not a curated record.